Long non-coding RNA from Branchiostoma belcheri (Belcher's lancelet), 676 nucleotides. RefSeq lists it as uncharacterized. The record is from RefSeq and is a predicted model, not a curated record. The transcript has 2 exons. Lineage: Eukaryota; Metazoa; Chordata; Leptocardii; Amphioxiformes; Branchiostomatidae.
UCACUCCACUCGGAGGUAUGGCUUGGUCUAGAAUAUGGUAGGACGGCCACGAAAGACGGCCACGCCGCUAUUGGUCAAUUUCUCAGCAAGCUCCACGCUGCUAUUGGUCGGGGUAUCAGCUGCUGCAGUGAGGGAUAGCUAGCGGUGGGGAGGGCUGCCGGCGUUUAUCCACAACUUUUAGGGGCAAAAAAACGUCAACCUUUACGACUAUAAUCACUCCACUUCGGUGGAUAAGCCACAAACAGUCAUUUGUGCGGCUCUUAGCUCUGGAAACCUUACAGGGCAUUUGCCAGAAAGGAGAAACUGAUUGCACAGCAGGAAAUGGAGAUGUCAAUGCAUUAAAUUCUGGAAUUGUUGGAAGUGCCAGCUUUAGUUCAUAACAACAACAUGAAUACUGAACCCUGACUUAUGUUAUCACAUUCUUUCUCUGAAGUAGAAUAACUAGAGGUGGAUUGUAGUGUUGAACUGUAGAACUAUUCUGUGUUCGCUUAUUUAUUUGUUUUCUAUUUUUCCGAGUUGCAUGUUUGAGAAUAUUUUCUAAAACUGUUUCAAGCAUAACAUAUAGUAACUAGAUUCAUUACCUAUAGUACUUGUAGAUAUUACCAGUUUAUUUUCUGAUACAUGUAUAUUAUUUUCAACACCAUUCAAUUAUUAUUAAAGCUGAAAUACACGUUUU